Etheostoma spectabile (orangethroat darter) is the source of this 2316-nucleotide long non-coding RNA. RefSeq lists it as uncharacterized. The record is from RefSeq and is a predicted model, not a curated record. The transcript has 2 exons. NCBI's taxonomy places the organism in Eukaryota, Metazoa, Chordata, Actinopteri, Perciformes, Percidae.
UCAGGGACCUGUGAAUCCAUAGAAGAUUAAAAACAAUAAGACCUUUUACACACACAGGGUUUAGAUUUUACAUAAUCAGAAUCAGACCUGGGAAAUCAAGGUAAGUAACAAGUCAAAACAUGGCAAAUUACGAACCUUAGGUUUUCUGUGUUUUUAAAUACUUAUAUAAAUCUAUGUUGUAACAUUGUUAAAGUCAAACAAUAUAGGAGCUGGUAAGCAGUGCUAUGUUAACAAGUUAAAAAUUGCUCUCAAAAUUCUGUUCACUGUCAAAGACCUUAAGUACUAGGAGACACUGUAUGAGAGUGGUUCAGUUCUUUAGGUGUCUCACCGUUACCGUGCUCACUUUCGGAAAUGAAAUUGUUAAGGCAAAAUUAAAGGACCUUAAAAAACAAACAUGACAAAUGCAAAUUCUGAAAAUAUCCCUGCCUAUGAAAUUGUGAAAAUCCCGAUACCAAUGUUUCUGCAAUGGGUUAAUAUUUGCUUCCGUAUAUUAGUUUGAUUUGAUGGUUUGACUAUUUGGCAUAUGCCUGGAUUUUUCAGUUUUUAAAAGCAGUGUUCUCAAUACUACUUGUCCAUGGGCCAACUUGUACAAAUAUCACAAUCAAACAAAUACAUCUACUAGGAAAUCUUGUGAGCACAUUUGUGCUCCCCAGAGGAUGGACCCUUUCUAUUUGAAGUAUCCGAUGUGCUCAGGUUUGCUCACAGACUGUCAGAAUCUAAAAGACAAAUAUCCUACAGUUUGCUGAGACGUUGUCUCUCUCCUAAAAGCAUGAGGUUAGAGAAUUUAGCAGCUCCAUUUCUAGGAACUGCCGAAGUGUCACUAUGAUGUUCAGUAUGCCAAAAACUAGUAUUGGUGAGUUUAAUGAACGUUGGUCAGGUAGUAUUUAUUGCAUUACAUUACAUCAUACAACUUUUUUUAGUGCAUCUAAUUCUCAAUGAUGCUAAAAUAUGUACUUUUUCAAUAAAGCUGUAUUAAUGACAUCACAUGUUGGGAUUUUUUAAUGCUAUUAACAGGUGGCCAUAACCUCAAUAGGACAAUGUAACACCUAAGAUAGGGUUGCCUUGGUAGAGUGUGGUGACGUCAGUAUUAAAUCUUUAUGUUGGCGUGUUAUUUCCAGUCCAGCCAUGGGUUAAAAAUAAUAGGAGAUGCCAGUGUGUCAUGCAAAAAAAAGACUUCAGUUCCAACACUCAAAUGAGCAUUUACUGUUUAAGUUGUGCGAAGGAAACCUGUUUGAGACAAAGAGGAUGGUCAGUGUUUUUAUUCCAUGUUUGAUUUCAGCUCCCACACCAACAUCACUGAUGGGUGUGUUCAUGUGUGUAAUCUGUUGGACCAGACAGCAAUGUAAAAAAAAAAAAAAAAUGACUUGACAGUGAUAAGUGGAGUAGAACCAUGAGACAUAAAGGGUUUCCAUGCAGAUAACAUCACAUCAUUGAUUUUGUUUCAUGAGAGGAAACCAAAAAAUUUGUUAUUACUCAGAGUUGAAGGUUCCAGGUCUCUGCCACUCUAGCAGUCAAAUGGUGGACAUCUUUAAUUUAACUUAAAUUUUAACUUCAACUGCAGUUUAAUUUGAUCUUUAAUCUAACUUUGUGUUUUAGCUUGUUGCUUUUUGUAUUGUUAUAGUUUUUCCUGGAAUCCUUGACACUUCAUGCUGUGUUUAAUCACAUAAAGUCCAUUUAAACUUGACUUAAUUUUGAAUCUCGUCCAAAAUACUUUAACAAGGUGUCUGCAGGUCUCAAAAAAGUCUUAAAAAGCAUAGAAUUCAGAUUCCUAAUAUACAAAGUUUUAACUACUUAUACAUGCCUGCUGUAGGAAGUAAUUUUACUCAGUGAUUUUAUUUUUAUUUAUUUAUUUUUAAAUCUGAUUGCAGGCUGCUUCCAGAUGUUGAUGCACCUAUAAACUAAAGGUUUAAAACAAUUGAGCUAGUUGUUGAGCUCAGUGACUCAAAGUGUUGAUUUUAGCAAAAGCUUAUAUAAACAAAUGAAUUAAUCAUUUUUAAUUCAAUAAUCUGUCCACCCCUUUUCUACUGCUUACCCAGGUCCAAUAUAUUCAACGCACAAUGAAUUAGUUGUAUCAUCAGGAAUUAUACGCUGAUGGGAAAAAAUGUACCAAAUUAAUAAUUUCUAAUACUAGGCCAUAUCAUCCACACUGGUUUUCCUUCAUUCUUUAAUACAUUCGCUGGUAUGAUCGUAUUGAAUUUCGUGGUAUUAAAAAGUUACAUUGAACCAGGUGAAGCCUGCAGAAACCCUGUGUAAUCACUUUAAUCAGUGUUAAAGUGAAUCCUUACUAUAUUUGCUGUGGUGUUUUUUCACAUUUAA